This 253-nucleotide ribosomal RNA is filed under the name uncultured bacterium. Its description in RNAcentral is "partial 16S ribosomal RNA". It matches the Rfam family "Bacterial small subunit ribosomal RNA", at positions 524 to 776 of the family's 1533-position model. The record is from RNAcentral.
UACGUAGGGUGCGAGCGUUGUCCGGAAUUAUUGGGCGUAAAGAGCUCGUAGGCGGUCUGUCGCGUCUGCUGUGAAAACCCGAGGCUCAACCUCGGGCCUGCAGUCGAUACGGGCAAACUAGAGUACUGCAGGGGAGACUGGAAUUCCUGGUGUAGCGGUGAAAUGCGCAGAUAUCAGGAGGAACACCGGUGGCGAAGGCGGGUCUCUGGGCAGUAACUGACGCUGAGGAGCGAAAGCGUGGGGAGCGAACAGG